Molecule: ribosomal RNA, 460 nt
Filed under: uncultured bacterium
Lineage: Bacteria
Description: partial 16S ribosomal RNA
Rfam family: Bacterial small subunit ribosomal RNA
Source: RNAcentral
CCUACGGGUGGCAGCAGUGAGGAAUAUUGGUCAAUGGGCGCGAGCCUGAACCAGCCAAGUAGCGUGAAGGAUGACUGCCCUACGGGUUGUAAACUUCUUUUAUAAGGGAAUAAAGUGAGGCACGUGUGUCUUUUUUUAUGUCCUUUAUUAAUCAGGAUCGGCUAACUCCGUUCCACCAGCCGCGGUUCUACGGAGGUGCCGAGCGUUAUCCGGAUUUAUUGGGGUUAAAGGGAGCGUAGAUGGUUUGUUAAGUCAGGUGUGAAAGUUUGCGGCGUAACCGUAAAAUUGCAAUUGAUACUGGCAGUCUUGAGUACAGUUGAGGUAGGCGGAAUUCGUGGUGUAGCGGGGAAAUGCUUAGAUAUCACGAAGAACUCCGAUUGCGAAGGCAGCUUACUAAACUGCCACUGACAUUGAUGCUCGAAAGUGUGGGUAUCAAACAGGAUUAGAUACCCUGGUAGUC